CUCCUGCGAGAGUCAAACUUCUACUACGAACGGUCUACUCCGAACUCCUACAGCGGGCUGUCUAUCCUAGACGUCGACUGUAAGCAAAUUCUGACUCAAGCCUCUACUAUAAACAAAUUUCUUCCGAAUUUCUACUACAGGUAGACUUCAACCGAGCUACCCCAUAGUAAGUGGGCUCUGGACGAGCUUCUACAAUGGGACACUACUCUGAGCUUCCGCGAUAACUGGUCCUCGCCCGAGCUCCUACAAUAAGCGGCCCCUUUUCGACCUCUCACGA
This 277-nucleotide long non-coding RNA is filed under the name Elaeis guineensis (African oil palm). Its description in RNAcentral is "long non-coding RNA (EGUI_LNC056998)". Lineage: Eukaryota; Viridiplantae; Streptophyta; Magnoliopsida; Arecales; Arecaceae. The record is from RNAcentral.